Heterocephalus glaber (naked mole-rat) is the source of this 1023-nucleotide non-coding RNA. NCBI's taxonomy places the organism in Eukaryota, Metazoa, Chordata, Mammalia, Rodentia, Bathyergidae. The record is from RefSeq and is a predicted model, not a curated record.
AGAAUCACGAAAACAGCACGGCUGAGAUCCCAGUUGACAGGCAUCUCCCCCCUUCUGCCCCGGCUCUCUGGGAUUUCUGGUGACAGCCCUCGUCUCCAAGUAGGAUGAAUGCUGGAAUUACCAUGACCCCAAAAAUCCUGGACAUAGGACUUUUAAAAUCACCCAGGUUCCAGGAACAAGUCAGGCUUGAGGACUCAGAAGAGGAGGUACAGACCCCAGCCUCAGCCCCUUAGAUGACAAUCGCCACAGAGUAGCCCUGGGCGAGGGUGAGGACACAUCUAACAAGGAGGACACAGCACAGCGCAGACGCACACCACCACAGGACACAACCCGACAACAGCAGACAAAGAGAGGCCGUACUCGGUCUUUGCUGGUGCAGGUGACACAGAGCUGUCUGCAGUGGAAGGAGCAAGCUCGGGGGCUUGUCCACUGGCCCCAGCGGCGGGAGCAGGAGAGCCCAGGGCUGCAAAAACAUCCUUUGCAAGUUUGCUCCAGUGAAGCCCCACUCUACAAUGGUCUUCAGAGGCUUUUCGCUCAGCAUCUGUUUCUCCACAGAUGGUGCUGGACAGAACAAUCUCUGGAUUGCCAGUUCCACAAGGGCAGGAAUUUUUAUUCUUUUUGUUUCCUGUUGUACCCUCAAGCCUGGAAAUCAUGCCUGGCCCUUAGCAGCUGCUGCCUAAGUAUUUGUUGAGAGAUGUAUGAAUGAAUGAAUCAAUGGAAAAAUGAAAGUCAGGAAUAACUCCAAAGGAUCCCGAACCUGGAGUGGACUGGACUCAUGAGCCACCCCCCUCUUUGCUGCACCCCAGAAAAAUGAAUGCAGGCCGUGAGACUCUGGAGACAUGGCAGCCUCCUCAGGCCUGAUGCCUAGAUGGACCUGAGUCAUUAUUGUGCCAUGGGACCUGGAUGCCAAAGUUCCCUCUCAGCCUCCUAGGAAUGUCAAGACUCUCAGAAUGGUGAAGUUGGGAUUCUGAUUCAUUCAAACCCCUUAAAUGUCUGUUUGCUCCUUCCUGAAAAUGGCUACAC